UACGGAGGAUGCGAGCGUUAUCCGGAUUUAUUGGGUUUAAAGGGUGCGUAGGCGGCCUGCCAAGUCAGCGGUAAAAUUGCGGGGCUCAACCCCGUACAGCCGUUGAAACUGCCGGGCUCGAGUGGGCGAGAAGCAUGCGGAAUGCGUGGUGUAGCGGUGAAGUGCAUAGAUAUCACGCAGAACCCCGAUUGCGAAGGCAGCAUACCGGCGCCCGACUGACGCUGAGGCACGAAAGUGCGGGGAUCAAACAGG
Molecule: ribosomal RNA, 252 nt
Filed under: uncultured bacterium
Lineage: Bacteria
Description: partial 16S ribosomal RNA
Rfam family: Bacterial small subunit ribosomal RNA
Source: RNAcentral